CUGUGACCAUGCUGGCCUUAAAUUCACAGAGAUCCACCUGCCUCUGCCUGUCAAAUGCUGGGAUGAAAGGCAUGUGUCACCACUGUUUGACCAGGCAACUCUUUCCAAACUCAUUGUUUCUUGCUGUUGAUUUCUGCAUGCUUCUCUGACUCAUGAACAUGAAUAACUCCUUUAUCCAGCAUUUCUUCCUUCCUCCCAGCAUACCCUGUAGAUCCUGUGUGGAGGUGUGAAGCAUCUUCUUCUACAUUUGUGCAUCUGCCACUGCCAAUCUUUCCAAGAUUAUUUCAGUUUCUGAUUUUGUUACUAGAGACACUAUUGGAUUUUGCAUAUUGAUUUUUACAACCUGAAAUCUUCUCAAACUCAUUUAUAAUUGCUUGCAGCUUUUGCACAGCUUCUGUUCUAUUUUCUACAUAAACCUCUUAAUAAAGAAAGAUACUGAUUAACCUUACUUGUUAGACCUUUGUUUUCUAUCUGGCUUUAGGUAGCUUUCUCACAUGCUUGAGGGAGUAAGUUUUUCAGCUGAGCUACAGGGCUGCCCUCUGAAGACCUUUAGAGCUGCAGCACUUUGCUUUCUGCUCCAUUGCCCUAGAUGCCCCAAAUCUUAUUAAAAAUAGUUUAAAAGUUAUUCUAUGUGUGGACUUUUGGAGGGGGAUGAUUAUAUGCAUGCCACAGUGAGCAUGUGGAGGUCAGAAGACAGCUCGUAGGAGUGAGCUCUCCUUUCACCAAGUGAGUUCCAACAAACAGAUUCGGGUCAUCAGUCUUGGCAGAAGUGCCUGUACCAGCUGAGCUGUUUCCCCAGCCAUUUGUUGGACUUCUUUCCCCUCAGGAGUCCCAGUCCCACGCUGUGCUUAGGAAGGUGGCAGAAGCAGACAGACGGGAGAAGACGUACCGAGCCUGGGAAAAGAACGGUGAUCUCCAACCUCUCUUUCAAGUCAUGGAGACCUAUCCUGCUUUGUUUGCAACCUCCAGGAAACUGGGAAGUGAGUGGCUACAGUGUUCUUAGGGUGAAUAUUAGACUCCAGCAGAAAAAGAUGUCUGUGCCAAGGCUGACAGGAAUAAGCAGAUUUAUCUAACUUCCCAGUUUGCACGUCAGGCUGGUAUGGAGGGAUCGUCGUGAAUACAAGAGGAUCCAGUCUGAAGGGUAUGUUCUGGGUGGUGACUGCCUCAUUCCACUAGUGCAAGCUUGAUUGCACUGCAUGACUCCGUGGGCUCAUGGGCACAAAAGGAAAGGGGGGCGCUCAAAGAACAUAGACCUUUGCUGGAAAUAAAUAGUCUCACAGUAAGACUCAUAA
Myodes glareolus (Bank vole) is the source of this 1292-nucleotide long non-coding RNA. RefSeq lists it as uncharacterized. The record is from RefSeq and is a predicted model, not a curated record. Lineage: Eukaryota; Metazoa; Chordata; Mammalia; Rodentia; Cricetidae.